Molecule: ribosomal RNA, 253 nt
Filed under: uncultured bacterium
Lineage: Bacteria
Description: partial 16S ribosomal RNA
Rfam family: Bacterial small subunit ribosomal RNA
Source: RNAcentral
UACGAAGGGGGCUAGCGUUAUCCGGAUUCAUUGGGUUUAAAGGGAGCGUAGGUGGCCUUAUAAGUCAGUGGUGAAAUCUCUGGGCUUAACCCAGAAAUUGCCAUUGAUACUGUAGGGCUUGAGUAUAGAUGCCGUUGGCGGAAUAUGACAUGUAGUGGUGAAAUACAUAGAGAUGUCAUAGAACACCGAUUGCGAAGGCAGCUAACGAAACUAUAACUGACACUGAGGCUCGAAAGCCAGGGGAGCAAACGGG